CAUGUCUNANUAUAAGCAAUCUAUACGGUGAAACUGCGAAUGGCUCAUUAAAUCAGUUAUCGUUUAUUUGAUAGUACCUUACUACUUGGAUAACCGUGGUAAUUCUAGAGCUAAUACAUGCUAAAAACCCCCGACUUCGGAAGGGGUGUAUUUAUUAGAUAAAAAACCAAUGCCCUUCGGGGCUCCUUGGUGAUUCAUAAUAACUUAACGAAUCGCAUGGCCUUGUGCCGGCGAUGGUUCAUUCAAAUUUCUGCCCUAUCAACUUUCAAUCGUAUGGUCUUGGCUUACGAUGGUUUCAACGGGUAACGGGGAAUUAGGGUUCUAUUCCGGAGAGGGAGCCUGAGAAACGGCUACCACAUCCAAGGAAGGCAGCAGGCGCGCAAAUUACCCAAUCCCGACACGGGGAGGUAGUGACAAUAAAUACUGAUACAGGGCUCUUUUGGGUCUUGUAAUUGGAAUGAGUACAAUUUAAAUCCCUUAACGAGGAACAAUUGGAGGGCAAGUCUGGUGCCAGCAGCCGCGGUAAUUCCAGCUCCAAUAGCGUAUAUUAAAGUUGUUGCAGUUAAAAAGCUCGUAGUUGAACCUUGGGCCUGGUUGGUCGGUCCGCCUCACCGCGUGCACUGAUCCGACCGGGCCUUUCCUUCUGGGGAGCCGCAUGCCCUUCACUGGGUGUGUCGGGGAACCAGGACUUUUACUUUGAAAAAAUUAGAGUGUUCAAAGCAGGCCUAUGCUCGAAUACAUUAGCAUGGAAUAAUAGAAUAGGACGUGUGGUUCUAUUUUGUUGGUUUCUAGGACCGCCGUAAUGAUUAAUAGGGAUAGUCGGGGGCAUCAGUAUUCAAUUGUCAGAGGUGAAAUUCUUGGAUUUAUUGAAGACUAACUACUGCGAAAGCAUUUGCCAAGGAUGUUUUCAUUAAUCAGUGAACGAAAGUUAGGGGAUCGAAGACGAUCAGAUACCGUCGUAGUCUUAACCANNAACUAUGCCGACUAGGGAUCGGGCGAUGUUAUUUUUUUGACUCGCUCGGC
This 1023-nucleotide ribosomal RNA is filed under the name Varicosporium elodeae. Its description in RNAcentral is "SSU rRNA". It matches the Rfam family "Eukaryotic small subunit ribosomal RNA", at positions 54 to 1084 of the family's 1831-position model. The record is from RNAcentral. Lineage: Eukaryota; Fungi; Ascomycota; Leotiomycetes; Helotiales; Discinellaceae.